UCAAUGCAGCUCAAUGGUGAGAGCAUCCGACCGGCGUUACAGAUAUCGUAGGUUCGAUUCCUACCUGUAAAUAUGAA
Molecule: transfer RNA, 77 nt
Filed under: Acropora cervicornis
Lineage: Eukaryota; Metazoa; Cnidaria; Anthozoa; Scleractinia; Acroporidae
Description: tRNA-Ala
Source: RNAcentral